Molecule: ribosomal RNA, 425 nt
Filed under: uncultured bacterium
Lineage: Bacteria
Description: bacterial SSU rRNA
Rfam family: Bacterial small subunit ribosomal RNA
Source: RNAcentral
UGGGGAAUAUUGGACAAUGGGGGCAACCCUGAUCCAGCCAUGCCGCGUGUGUGAAGAAGGCCUUCGGGUUGUAAAGCACUUCCGGACGGAACGAAAUCGCGCGAGUUAAUAGUUCGCGUGGCUGACGGUACCGUACGAAGAAGCACCGGCUAACUACGUGCCAGCAGCCGCGGUAAUACGUAGGGUGCGAGCGUUAAUCGGAAUUACUGGGCGUAAAGUGUGCGCAGGCGGCGUCGCAAGUCGAGUGUGAAAGCCCCGAGCUUAACUUGGGAAUUGCGCUCGAAACUACGGCGCUGGAGUAUGGCAGAGGAAGGUGGAAUUCCACGUGUAGCGGUGAAAUGCGUAGAGAUGUGGAGGAACACCGAUGGCGAAGGCAGCCUUCUGGGCCAAUACUGACGCUCAUGCACGAAGGCGUGGGGAGCAAA